AAGAGACAGCAGUAGCCGCGGGAAUACGGAGGGUGCAAGCGUUAAUCGGAAUUACUGGGCGUAAAGCGCACGCAGGCGGUCUGACAAGUCAGAUGUGAAAUCCCCGGGCUUAACCUGGGAACUGCAUUUGAAACUGUCAGGCUGGAGUCUUGUAGAGGGGGGUGGAAUUCCAGGUGUAGCGGUGAAAUGCGUAGAGAUCUGGAGGAAUACCGGUGGCGAAGGCGGCCCCCUGGACAAAGACUGACGCUCAGGUGCGAAAGCGUGGGGAGCAAACAGGAUUAGAUACCCCGGUAGUCCCUGUCUCUUAUAC
RNAcentral lists this ribosomal RNA (310 nucleotides) under uncultured bacterium. RNAcentral's name for it is "partial 16S ribosomal RNA". It matches the Rfam family "Bacterial small subunit ribosomal RNA", at positions 503 to 807 of the family's 1533-position model. The record is from RNAcentral.